Molecule: ribosomal RNA, 1252 nt
Filed under: metagenome
Description: bacterial LSU rRNA
Rfam family: Bacterial large subunit ribosomal RNA
Source: RNAcentral
GAUAACUCUGGUGAAGGAACUCGGCAAAAUGACACCGUAACUUCGGGAGAAGGUGUGCCCUUAUUAUGUGAAGGCCCUGCGGCCGGAGCAGAAAAGGGUUGCAAAAACCAGGUGGUCGCGACUGUUUACUAAAAACACAGCACUCUGCAAACUCGUAAGAGGACGUAUAGGGUGUGACGCCUGCCCGGUGCUGGAAGGUUAAUUGAUGGGGUCAGCCGCAAGGCGAAGCUCUUGAUCGAAGCCCCAGUAAACGGCGGCCGUAACGAUAACGGUCCUAAGGUAGCGAAAUUCCUUGUCGGGUAAGUUCCGACCUGCACGAAUGGCGUAACGAUGGCCACACUGUCUCCACCAGGGACUCAGUGAAAUUGAAAUUGCGGUUAAGAUGCCGUAUACCCGCGGCUAGACGGAAAGACCCCGUGCACCUUUACUAUAGCUUUACACUGGACUUUGAAUAUAUCUGUGUAGGAUAGCUGGGAGGCUUUGAAGCGUUAACGCCAGUUAGCGUGGAGCCAACCUUGAAAUACCAGCCUGGUCUGUUUGAGGUUCUAACCUAGGUCCGUAAUCCGGAUCGGGGACAGUGUAUGGUGGGUAGUCUGACUGGGGCGGUCUCCUCCAAAAGAGUAACGGAGGAGCGCGAAGGUACCCUCAGCGCGGUCGGAAAUCGCGCGUUGCGUGCAAAGGCACAAGGGUGCUUGACUGCGAGGCAGACACGUCGAGCAGGUACGAAAGUAGGUCUUAGUGAUCCGGUGGUUCUGAAUGGAAGGGCCAUCGCUCAACGGAUAAAAGGUACGCCGGGGAUAACAGGCUGAUACCACCCAAGAGUUCAUAUCGACGGUGGUGUUUGGCACCUCGAUGUCGGCUCAUCUCAUCCUGGGGCUGAAGCCGGUCCCAAGGGUAUGGCUGUUCGCCAUUUAAAGAGGUACGCGAGCUGGGUUUAGAACGUCGUGAGACAGUUCGGUCCCUAUCUGCCGUGGGCGUUGGAGAUUUGAGAGGAGCUGCUCCUAGUACGAGAGGACCGGAGUGGACGUACCUCUGGUAUUCCGGUUGUCACGCCAGUGGCAUUGCCGGGUAGCUAUGUACGGACGGGAUAACCGCUGAAAGCAUCUAAGCGGGAAGCCUCCCUCAAGAUGAGAUCUCCCUGGAACUUUAAGUUCCCUGAAGGGCCCUCGUAGACUACGAGGUUGAUAGGCUGGGUGUGGAAGUGCAGUGAUGCACGUAGCUAACCAGUACUAAUUGCCCGUGAGGCUUGACC